RNAcentral lists this ribosomal RNA (465 nucleotides) under Vreelandella stevensii. RNAcentral describes it as "partial 16S ribosomal RNA". It matches the Rfam family "Bacterial small subunit ribosomal RNA", at positions 338 to 795 of the family's 1533-position model. Lineage: Bacteria; Pseudomonadati; Pseudomonadota; Gammaproteobacteria; Oceanospirillales; Halomonadaceae. The record is from RNAcentral.
CCUACGGAGGGCAGCAGUGGGGAAUAUUGGACAAUGGGGGGAACCCUGAUCCAGCCAUGCCGCGUGUGUGAAGAAGGCCCUCGGGUUGUAAAGCACUUUCAGUGAGGAAGAACGCCUGGUGGUUAAUACCCAUCAGGAAAGACAUCACUCACAGAAGAAGCACCGGCUAACUCCGUGCCAGCAGCCGCGGUAAUACGGAGGGUGCGAGCGUUAAUCGGAAUUACUGGGCGUAAAGCGCGCGUAGGUGGCUUGAUAAGCCGGUUGUGAAAGCCCCGGGCUCAACCUGGGAACGGCAUCCGGAACUGUCAAGCUACAGUGCAGGCGAGGAAGGUAGUAUUCCCGGUGUAGCGGUGAAAUGAGUAGAGAUCGGGAGGGAUACCAGUGGCGAAGGCGGCCUUCUGGACUGACACUGACACUGAGGUGCGAAAGCGUGGGUAGCAAACAGGAUUAGAUACCCGGGUAGUC